Molecule: unclassified non-coding RNA, 1515 nt
Filed under: Hevea brasiliensis (rubber tree)
Lineage: Eukaryota; Viridiplantae; Streptophyta; Magnoliopsida; Malpighiales; Euphorbiaceae
Source: RNAcentral
GAGAGAGAGAGAGAGAGAUGGAAGGAGCGACGCUAUCAAAACCGUUAAUCCUACCAGCUUUCCAGGCAGAAGAAGUCCAUUGUACUGGAAGAGCUUUUAGCUCCAGUUUGAGUGCAAGAGAGAAGAGGCUAGUCUGUGUGACCAGUGGGAAUUCUUGCUUGGGUUCUCAUAUAGUGAAGGAGCUCUUGGCUAACGGCUACCUUGUUCGAGUCACCAUUCAAAACCCAGGUUGGAAAAACAUAUAUUUUCCAAGGUUGUGCUUAGGAAUGGAUUGUAAAGAGGCGUUCCUUUUAUUGGUUUCUUGUAAUUCUUUUAUUAUCAAUUUUAACCAGAUGAACAGCAUGCAUUUUAUUUUCUUCUAUAUGUUCCUAUUUUGAUUUUAUUUCAACCAAUCUUUUGUUUUUACAUUAACAGUGGAUUUUGAAGACAUUAAGGAACUAAUGAAAGAUGAAGAGAUAAACCAACUAGAAAGUGUUGUGGUAGCAAAGAUGCAAGAUUUGGAAAGUCUUUGUGAUGCAUUUAGAGGUUGUCAUGCUAUUUUCCACACCUCAUCUUUCAUAGAUCCGCAUGGAGUUUCAGGUUAUUCAGAACAUAUGGCAUUCCUGGAGACUGAGGUUGCAAGGAAUGUUAUUAAAGCUUGCAGUGGGGCAGCAUACAUGAGGAGGUGUAUCUUCACUUCUUCUCUUCUUGCAUCAAUCUGGAGUGAUGACAAUCUAGACAGAACUAUUGAUGAGGGUUGUUGGAGCAACGAGGAAUUCUGCAGAGAAAACAAGCUUUGGCUUGCCUUGGGGAAGACGACCGCAGAGAAGGCUGCUUGGGGGAAGUCAAAGGAAUUGAAAGUGAAGCUUGUAACAGUCUGCCCUGGCCUUCUUAUGGCUCCUUCGUUCCCCUAUGCUCACAAAGACACUUCUCUACCAUAUCUUAAAGGGGGCUCGGUCAUGCUACAACGAGGCAUACUAGCAACUGGAGAUGUGAAUAAGGUUGCAGACGCACACGUCCGCGUUUAUGAAGCUAUGGAUGAUGGAGCUUUUGGGCGAUAUCUUUGCUUUGAUAAGGUAGUGGAAAGAUUGGAUGAGGGCAUGCAGCUGGAAAAUGAAUUGAAGAGGCAUGGACUGCGGCCUGGAAGUGUGGUCUCAGCGGAAGAAACACGAGAAGUACACAGCAAGCUUUGUAAUUCAAAGCUAGCCAAAUUGUUACUUGAAAGCUCACAAGGCAAAUCUUGCAGACAGUGACCCAUUUGUCCAUCAUGGAUGAUAUAUGCCUUUUGCGACGCUAAUUCAUGACCCUUGUUGGGCUUCCAAGAGACGUAAGAGCUUGCAACAACUCCCAUUAGUUUCUUCACUAGGAGGCCUCAAAUUCAAAUUAUGAGAGUGGGAAGUGAAACAAGUAAUGAGAAUUAAUGAAUACUUGUAAGCCAAUUAUGGUAUCUAUCAUAAUGGAGUGAAGUUCCCAUUCAUAAUUCUAUGAUGAAAAGAAGACCAAAUAUAUCAUUUCAUACUUGAAUUUAAAUCAAAU